AGCGUACAAGGUGGAUGCCUUGGCAAUCAGAGGCGAAGAAGGACGUGCUAAUCUGCGAAAAGUUUGGAUGAGUCGAUAAGAGGCGUUUAAUCCAAGAUAUCCGAAUGGGGAAACCCAGUAGAUGAAGAAUCUACUAUCACUUACUGAAUUCAUAGGUAAGUGAGGCAAACCGGGAGAACUGAAACAUCUAAGUACCCCGAGGAAAAGAAAUCAACCGAGAUUUCGUCAGUAGCGGCGAGCGAAAGCGAAAGAGCCUGUUAAUGAUAACAGCAGAGAUAGAGGAAUAAGCUGGGAAGCUUAGCGACACAGGGUGAUAGCCCCGUACUCGACAUCCAGGCUGUGGUACUAAGUUAACGAGAAGUAGGGCGGGACACGUGAUAUCCUGUUUGAAGAUGGGGGGACCAUCCUCUAAGGCUAAAUACUCCUGAUUGACCGAUAGUGAACCAGUACUGUGAAGGAAAGGCGAAAAGAACCCCGGUGAGGGGAGUGAAAUAGAACCUGAAACCUUGUACGUACAAGCAGUGGGAGCCUGAAAGGGUGACUGCGUACCUUUUGUAUAAUGGGUCAGCGACUUAUAUUUUGUAGCGAGGUUAACCGAAUAGGGGAGCCGAAGGGAAACCGAGUCUUAACUGGGCGAAUAGUUGCAAGGUAUAGACCCGAAACCCGGUGAUCUAGCCAUGGGCAGGUUGAAGGUUGGGUAACACUAACUGGAGGACCGAACCGACUAAUGUUGAAAAAUUAGCGGAUGACUUGUGGCUGGGGGUGAAAGGCCAAUCAAACCGGGAGAUAGCUGGUUCUCCCCGAAAUCUAUUUAGGUAGAGCCUUGAGCGGACACCUUUGGGGGUAGAGCACUGUUUCGGCUAGGGGUCCAUCCCGGAUUACCAACCCGAUGCAAACUACGAAUACCAAAGAGUGAUACUCAGGAGACACACGGCGGGUGCUAACGUCCGUCGUGGAGAGGGAAACAACCCAGACCGCCAGCUAAGGUCCCAAAGUCUAUAUUAAGUGGGAAACGAAGUGGGAAGGCUUAGACAGCUAGGAUGUUGGCUUAGAAGCAGCCAUCAUUUAAAGAAAGCGUAAUAGCUCACUAGUCGAGUCGGCCUGCGCGGAAGAUGUAACGGGGCUGAAAUAUAGCACCGAAGCUGCGGCAUCAAUGGAAACAUUGUUGGGUAGGGGAGCGUUGUGUAAGCGGAUGAAGGUUAAUCGAGAGGUUAGCUGGACGUAUCACAAGUGCGAAUGCUGACAUAAGUAACGAUAAAACGAGUGAAAAACUCGUUCGCCGGAAGACCAAGGGUUCCUGUCCAACGUUAAUCGGGGCAGGGUGAGUCGGCCCCUAAGGCGAGGCUGAAAAGCGUAGUCGAUGGGAAACAGGUUAAUAUUCCUGUACUUGGUAAAGCUGCGAUGUGGGGACGGAGUAGGUUAGGUUAGCGUGCUGUUGGAUAUGCACGUUUAAGUUGGUAGGUGGGAAGUUUAGGCAAAUCCGGACUUCCUUAACACUGAGAGAUGAUGACGAGGCUCUACGGAGCUGAAGUAACUGAUACCACACUUCCAGGAAAAGCCACUAAGCGACAAGCUUUACUAAACCGUACUGAAAACCGACACAGGUGGUCAGGUAGAGAAUACUCAGGCGCUUGAGAGAACUCGGGUGAAGGAACUAGGCAAAAUAGCACCGUAACUUCGGGAGAAGGUGCGCCGGCGUAGAUUGUAAGGGCUAGCCCCUGAAGGUUGAACCGGUCGAAGAUACCAGCUGGCUGCAACUGUUUAUUAAAAACACAGCACUCUGCAAACACGAAAGUGGACGUAUAGGGUGUGAUGCCUGCCCGGUGCUGGAAGGUUAAUUGAUGGUGUAAUCGAAAGAGAAGCUCCUGAUCGAAGCCCCAGUAAACGGCGGCCGUAACUAUAACGGUCCUAAGGUAGCGAAAUUCCUUGUCGGGUAAGUUCCGACCUGCACGAAUGGCAUAAUGAUGGCCAGGCUGUCUCCACCCGAGACUCAGUGAAAUUGAAAUCGCCGUGAAGAUGCGGUGUACCCGCGGCUAGACGGAAAGACCCCGUGAACCUUUACUAUAGCUUGACACUGAACAUUGAAUUUUGAUGUGUAGGAUAGGUGGGAGACUUAGAAGUAGUCACGCCAGUGAUUAUGGAGUCGACCUUGAAAUACCACCCUUUAACGUUUGAUGUUCUAACGAAGAUUACGAAACGUGGUCUCGGACAGUGUCUGGUGGGUAGUUUGACUGGGGCGGUCUCCUCCCAAAGCGUAACGGAGGAGCACGAAGGUUUGCUAAUCACGGUCGGACAUCGUGAGGUUAGUGCAAUGGUAUAAGCAAGCUUAACUGCGAGACAGACAAGUCGAGCAGGUACGAAAGUAGGUCAUAGUGAUCCGGUGGUUCUGAAUGGAAGGGCCAUCGCUCAACGGAUAAAAGGUACUCCGGGGAUAACAGGCUGAUACCGCCCAAGAGUUCAUAUCGACGGCGGUGUUUGGCACCUCGAUGUCGGCUCAUCACAUCCUGGGGCUGAAGUAGGUCCCAAGGGUAUGGCUGUUCGCCAUUUAAAGUGGUACGCGAGCUGGGUUUAGAACGUCGUGAGACAGUUCGGUCCCUAUCUGCCGUGGGCGUUGGAGAAUUGGUUGGGGCUGCUCCUAGUACGAGAGGACCGGAGUGGACGCACCACUGGUGUUCCGGUUGUGUCGCCAGACGCAUUGCCGGGUAGCUAAGUGCGGAAGAGAUAAGUGCUGAAAGCAUCUAAGCACGAAACUUGCCAAGAGAUGAGUUCUCCCACACAUCAAGUGUGUAAGGGUUGU
This 2797-nucleotide ribosomal RNA is filed under the name Haemophilus haemolyticus M19501. Its description in RNAcentral is "bacterial LSU rRNA". It matches the Rfam family "Bacterial large subunit ribosomal RNA". Lineage: Bacteria; Pseudomonadati; Pseudomonadota; Gammaproteobacteria; Pasteurellales; Pasteurellaceae. The record is from RNAcentral.